UCGAACGGACCCUUCGGGGUCAGUGGCGGACGGCUGAGUAACGCGUGGGUAACCUACCCAUGAGUGGGGAAUAACCCUCCGAAAGGAGGGCUAAUACCGCAUACGACCACGGAUCUGCGGAUUCGUGAGGAAAGUCGCAAGACGCUCGUGGAGGGGCCCGCGUCCGAUUAGCUAGUUGGUGAGGUAACGGCCCACCAAGGCGUCGAUCGGUAGCUGGUCUGAGAGGAUGAUCAGCCAGACUGGGACUGUGACACGGCCCAGACUCCUACGGGAGGCAGCAGUUAGGAAUCUUGGGCAAUGGGCGAAAGCCUGACCCAGCAACGCCGCGUGGGUGACGAAGGCCUUCGGGUCGUAAAGCCCUUUUCCACGGGAAGAUAAUGACGGUACCGUGGGAAUAAGCCCCGGCUAACUACGUGCCAGCAGCCGCG
Molecule: ribosomal RNA, 428 nt
Filed under: uncultured soil bacterium
Lineage: Bacteria
Description: bacterial SSU rRNA
Rfam family: Bacterial small subunit ribosomal RNA
Source: RNAcentral